Molecule: ribosomal RNA, 253 nt
Filed under: uncultured bacterium
Lineage: Bacteria
Description: partial 16S ribosomal RNA
Rfam family: Bacterial small subunit ribosomal RNA
Source: RNAcentral
UACGAAGGGUGCAAGCGUUACUCGGAAUUACUGGGCGUAAAGCGUGCGUAGGCGGCUUUACAGGUCCGUUGUGAAAACUCGAGGCUCAACCUCGAGACGCCGGUGGAAACCGUAAAGCUAGAGUCCGGAAGAGGAGAGUGGAAUUCCUGGUGUAGCGGUGAAAUGCGCAGAUAUCAGGAGGAACACCCGUGGCGAAAGCGGCUCUCUGGGACGGUACUGACGCUGAGACGCGAAAGCGUGGGGAGCAAACAGG